This is a long non-coding RNA of Patella vulgata (common limpet), 894 nucleotides long. RefSeq lists it as uncharacterized. The transcript has 5 exons. The record is from RefSeq and is a predicted model, not a curated record. Lineage: Eukaryota; Metazoa; Mollusca; Gastropoda; Patellidae.
CCCCAACGUAGUAUCACGUGACCAACAGUCGAGCGUUUGGCGGACGGUUAGCUUGUCGAUGUUUCAAUCGAAAAUACGUAUUACCUGGUUAACUGUUACCUGUAGAUUAUUUAGUAAUGACCAUGGUGUUCAGUAUCUCAUAUCACCUGUUCUGUUUAUGGUCGUUAAUGCAAGUUGUUAAAGGCGAGUACUGUGACUAUUUUGAUGAUGAUCAUGGUAUCAACAACUCAACGUAUUGUUAUUAUGGAUGUUGUAAUACCAGCAGUAACGCUACGUUACGCAACGUAUGCUGCUCUAUCUAUGAUGGACCUGGAUUCUUCAACUGUUAUAGCAGUAAUACCAGUUUCCCCUUUGGUAUAAUUGUAGCAGUCAGUUUCAUAUUUGUGAUGUUUAUUGUCACAUGUUGUUGUUGUUGCCGUAAACGACAAGCAACUCAAGGACUGGUUCUUGAAGCUCCAGUGGUAUAUUCUAGUAUUUAAUAAUAAUAACAGUAUACUCAUCGCGCAGAUACUGGUCAAACAAGUACCUUGCGUCCACCAAUCGUUUUGACCCCUCCACCAUAUCACUCACUAGAAGCUAAUAAGCCACCACCAUCUUAUGAUACAGUUACCUCCCCUGUAGGACAAGAUGACCAGAACUUCGAUACACAUACAAAUAGCAAUAUUAAUUAAGGGUAUAGACAGAUAAUGGUUUAUUAUAUUAACUGUGUGUAUAGAGAACUGUUUAUUGUAUUAACCGUGUAGAUAGGGGGCUGUUUAUUGUAUUAACCGUGUAGAUAGAGGGCUGUUUAAUGUACUAACUGUGUAGAUAGAGAACUGUUUAUUGUAUUAACUAGAGAACUGUUUAUUGUAUUAACUGUAUAUAGAUAAAGAAUGGUUUAUUAUAUUAAUUGUA